RNAcentral lists this long non-coding RNA (2201 nucleotides) under Chrysemys picta bellii (western painted turtle). Its description in RNAcentral is "lncRNA (ENSCPBG00000017532.1)". Lineage: Eukaryota; Metazoa; Chordata; Testudines; Emydidae. The record is from RNAcentral.
AAUGGAACGGUUCAUUCUGAAAAUAUCAAAACUGGCCAUUUUGACAUUUAAUUUUUUUUUCAAAAAUGAACAAUUCAGCAAAAUCAACACAAAGUCACAAACCAUUUUGGUGUCACUCAAUCUCCAUUCUUUGCCNNNNNNNNNNNNNNNNNNNNGAAAAAAAAAGUUGUGUGUGAAAAGCUUUUUGCCUAACUCUGGCGUUAACUCUGCGUUGAAGAAAAGCCCAGAAAGUUCUGGCUGCUCCCGUUUGACGCUGAAUCGUUAGAAACGAUGUGUGCCCCUGAAUCCUCUCUAGAGGGGAUUUGCUUUUCCACUCACCCAAACAUAAUUCCCGUAAUACAAUAUAAAGUAAUGACUGUUACCUUAUCACAACUGGCCCCACUCGGGACUUUCCAGCAGCAAGAAACCGAAAGCGAAAGGUCUGACGUCACAGAGUUUUCACGCUGUUGCGGGGGCGAAAGGGGCUAACUCUAUAUAAGGAGGAGGCCGUAGGGAAGAUCCCACAUCACUUUUGGGACAAGCGAUCAGCACCGUGCCCCACUGGGCCUUUCUAAUUCUGCAGCCCAGCAUUUCGCCCGAGCUGAAUCGGAUCAUCCAGUGGACGUGGAACAGCCGUCGCUGCAGCCCCUGAAGUGAGAGACCAGACGUGGCACAAGCUCAGCAGCAUCUGAGAGAGCUUAUCUGGAGAAUUACUCUUGCUGAAGUGAACGUGCUACGUAGGUGCAAAGAUGAGUUGCCAGGAAAUAUUCGUGAGCAGCAUGUCACCACAUGGAAGAUUAUGCUCUACUUCUGAAGCAAAUGACUCUUACAGUAACCACACACCCCUAACUGAAGCAAAGAGACAAACUGCAGAAGCAGCAAAGCGGAGAGCAAUGGAGAUUCUGAGAGAUGCCCUGAAGAAGAAGGACCGAGUGCUGAUGGAGAAGCCCCAGGAUCUGUUUUUUGGUGAUAGCAGAGAUCCCAAAUUCUGGAUGGAACGCCAUGCGAUACUGACAGAAGAGUUAGUUCGAGAUCUCAUCUCAGAGCUGGAAGUUGUGAAGUUUAAGGAGGAUCUAACCAGGAAAUAUAUUUAUGCAUAUGUUUAUUCAAAGUCUGGAGACAAAACAGUGUAUUUGUGCCCAGAAUUCUGGAAGGCUUCUACAUAUCUUGGAGAAGGGUCUCAGCCAGGGACUCUUAUCCAUGAAGUGUCUCACUUCCUGGGGAUACGAGAUAUCGACUAUUCCAAAGCCAGUAUCUAUGUUGCCUGCAGAGGGAAGUUGGUAAAAAGCAAAUCAGACCCCAGUGCCCCAGAUCUGAAUCCCCUUGGGAAAGCACUAUUAAAUGCUAACAACAUCACAGAUGAAUUUGAAAUUACCCUAAAUCACAAAGGAAGAUACGAGAAUGGAAAAUACACCUGCUGUGGGGAAAAAGCCGUGAACUCAGUUUGUGAGAGAGCUGUGCCUGAUGAGUUUCUUAUUCACUAUUUCAGGGAAAGUGAGAAGAGGAAGAACAUUGGUGAAAUUAUGGAGGAGUCAUUACUGCCCACAGCAAAGAGACUGGAGAGUCACGUAACCCAACUUAGAAAGAUGGCAGAUGAAAUUGAUGAAACUCAUAAAAAUGCUACAAUAGCAAAGGCUCAUGCAGUGACAAGUUCAAACAAAAAGAACGAGGUGGAGAAGAUUUUAAAGGAAUGUCAGGAUAUGCUGAAAUGUAUUGAGAAGGAACUUUCCAAAAUCACUAAAGAGAUUAAAAAACCGGGAGAGGACAGUUAUAUUGUUUUGUUAGCAGAACUGUAUGAAUGGAUAAGAAUUGGUGAAAUCCUGGCAGGAAGUGUUCCAAGCAGUUUAACAGCGACAACUGCUUUAUUUGCUGCUGCAAUUUUAGUGAAUGAUUCUAAGAAACCUAUGGAAGGUGAGAAACUUGCAGCUGAAAUCCGAAGAGAAGCUGCAAAAAUGGAAGAAGUCAUUAAAAUAGUAAAUAAGUUUUAUGGAUCAGUAAGAAGAUUAUAGCUAGGCAAAACAACACUGCUUAUUUGCAGCAUGAAAUGAUUCAGCUGAAAUCGUUUAGGUACCUUCUCUCUAAGAAAGUUCAGAAUCCAAAUAAGGUUUGAUUGACAAUCUAUUGGGGAAACAGAUCACAUGUAGAACCUGCUGUAACUGCCCUUUCUUUAGAAGCCUAAGAACACAUCCCUGUAAAUAAAAGGUUCCACACCAUGUCUGACA